Molecule: long non-coding RNA, 443 nt
Organism: Sorghum bicolor (sorghum)
Lineage: Eukaryota; Viridiplantae; Streptophyta; Magnoliopsida; Poales; Poaceae
Exons: 2
Source: RefSeq, a predicted model, not a curated record
GGAUUAGGUCAGAUGAUUGACGGCAAAACAUGAAUAUGACUGACUGGUGCAAAGCCUUGGUACUUACAUUGCCUCUCUUUAUAUUCCUUGCACAAUGUCGUCCUCAUGAGGACAUCCAUGUUGGAAGUGCAAGGGGGCGAGCUGCUUUGAGCCUACUCGGAGAUCGAGAAACAUGUUUCUUGAAGCACCAAAAUAAUAGAGUUGUCUACUGCUGCCGUCAACACCCAACUACAUGUUAUGAAACAUUUCAGUGGUGUCUGGCCGUAUGCUACAAUCAUAAUUGCAAGUGGUCAACUGCCCAUCCCGCCAAUGAUGCCUAAUCUGUGCAAUCUUCUCAAGGCCAUAUGACGAUGGUCUUAAAACCAUCAUUGUUAACAUAAAUAAUGUACUCCAGAAUGAUUGGUACUAUUAAGGGAAAGUUCUAUGCUUGUCCAUUGUUUUAA